RNAcentral lists this unclassified non-coding RNA (211 nucleotides) under Hevea brasiliensis (rubber tree). The record is from RNAcentral. Lineage: Eukaryota; Viridiplantae; Streptophyta; Magnoliopsida; Malpighiales; Euphorbiaceae.
GGUGGAAUGGGAAUGCCUCCAAUGCCACCUUUUGGCAUGCCGCCAAUGGGUAGCUAUUGAUAUGCUGGUGGCCUUUUUUGUAGAAUUUAGCUUUGAAUCAAAGUUGCUUAUGAAGGACAUGCAAGGUCGGGCUUUACCCUUUGGUGGUCUUUCGGUGCCUUCAUUACUUUUUGUGUUUGUUUUGAUGGGAUGAAUGAAGGUCUAUUUGAAA